RNAcentral lists this ribosomal RNA (495 nucleotides) under uncultured bacterium. Its description in RNAcentral is "partial 16S ribosomal RNA". It matches the Rfam family "Bacterial small subunit ribosomal RNA", at positions 28 to 507 of the family's 1533-position model. The record is from RNAcentral.
GACGAACGCUGGCGGCGUGCCUAAUACAUGCAAGUAGAACGCUGAAGGAGGAGCUUGCUUCUCUGGAUGAGUUGCGAACGGGUGAGUAACGCGUAGGUAACCUGCCUGGUAGCGGGGGAUAACUAUUGGAAACGAUAGCUAAUACCGCAUAAGAGUAGAUGUUGCAUGACAUUUGCUUAAAAGGUGCAAUUGCAUCACUACCAGAUGGACCUGCGUUGUAUUAGCUAGUUGGUGGGGUAACGGCUCACCAAGGCGACGAUACAUAGCCGACCUGAGAGGGUGAUCGGCCACACUGGGACUGAGACACGGCCUAGACUCCUACGGGAGGCAGCAGUAGGGAAUCUUCGGCAAUGGACGGAAGUCUGACCGAGCAACGCCGCGUGAGUGAAGAAGGGUGUCGGAUCGUAAAGCUCUGUUGUAAGAGAAGAACGAGUGUGAGAGUGGAAAGUUCACACUGUGACGGUAUCUUACCAGAAAGGGACGGCUAACUACGUG